UGACAUGAGUAGCGAUAAAGGGUGUGAAAAGCACCCUCGCCGUAAGCCCAAGGUUUCCUGCGCAACGUUCAUCGGCGCAGGGUGAGUCGGCCCCUAAGGCGAGGCAGAAAUGCGUAGUCGAUGGGAAACAGGUCAAUAUUCCUGUACCGCUCUAUGAUGCGAUGGGGGGACGGAGAAGGUUAGCUCGGCCAUCUGUUGGAAUAGGUGGUUCAAGUGUGUAGGCGUGCUGCGUAGGCAAAUCCGCGCGGCUUAGCUGAGGCAUGAUAACGAGGCUCUUCGGAGCCGAAGCGAGUAAUACCCAGCUUCCAGGAAAAGCCUCUAAGCUUCAGUCAUAGAGUGACCGUACCGCAAACCGACACAGGUGGGCUGGUAGAGAAUACCAAGGCGCUUGAGAGAACUCAGGAGAAGGAACUCGGCAGAUUGAUACCGUAACUUCGGGAGAAGGUAUGCCCCUGGUACGUGAAGGCCCUUGCGGCCGGAGCGGAACGGGGUCGCAGAGAAUCGGUGGCUGCGACUGUUUAUUAAAAACACAGCACUCUGCAAACACGAAAGUGGACGUAUAGGGUGUGACGCCUGCCCGGUGCCGGAAGGUUAAGUGAUGGGGUGCAAGCUCUUGAUCGAAGCCCCGGUAAACGGCGGCCGUAACAAUAACGGUCCUAAGGUAGCGAAAUUCCUUGUCGGGUAAGUUCCGACCUGCACGAAUGGCGUAACGAUGGCCACACUGUCUCCUCCUGAGACUCAGCGAAGUUGAAAUGUUUGUGAAGAUGCAAUCUCCCCGCGGCUAGACGGAAAGACCCCAUGAACCUUUACUGUAGCUUUGCAUUGGACUUUGACGGGACUUGUGUAGGAUAGGUGGGAGGCUUUGAAGCCGGGACGCUAGUUCCGGUGGAGCCAUCCUUGAAAUACCACCCUGGUGUCGUCGAGGUUCUAACCCAGGCCUGUGAAUCCAGGUCGGGGACCGUGCAUGGUGGGCAGUUUGACUGGGGCGGUCUCCUCCCAAAAGGUAACGGAGGAGUGCGAAGGUCACCUAGGUACGGUCGGACAUCGUACUGAUAGUGCAAUGGCAAAGGUGGCUUGACUGCGAGACCCACAAGUCGAGCAGGUGCGAAAGCAGGUCAUAGUGAUCCGGUGGUUCUGUAUGGAAGGGCCAUCGCUCAACGGAUAAAAGGUACUCUGGGGAUAACAGGCUGAUUCCGCCCAAGAGUUCACAUCGACGGCGGAGUUUGGCACCUCGAUGUCGGCCCAUCACAUCCUGGGGCUGUAGCCGGUCCCAAGGGUAUGGCUGUUCGCCAUUUAAAGUGGUACGUGAGCUGGGUUUAAAACGUCGUGAGACAGUUUGGUCCCUAUCUGCCGUGGGCGCUGGAAGUUUGAGAGGGCCUGCUCCUAGUACGAGAGGACCGGAGUGGACGCACCCCUGGUGUACCGGUUGUGACGCCAGUCGCAUCGCCGGGUAGCUAUGUGCGGAAGAGAUAACCGCUGAAAGCAUCUAAGCGGGAAACUCGCCUCAAGAUGAGACUUCCCCGGGGCCUCGAGCCCCCUGAAGGGUCGUUGAAGACCACAACGUUGAUAGGUCGGGUGUGUAAGCGUGGCAACACGUUCAGCUAACCGAUACUAAUUGCCCGUGUGGCUUGAUC
RNAcentral lists this ribosomal RNA (1634 nucleotides) under metagenome. Its description in RNAcentral is "bacterial LSU rRNA". It matches the Rfam family "Bacterial large subunit ribosomal RNA", at positions 1298 to 2925 of the family's 2925-position model. The record is from RNAcentral.